GCUGGCGGCGUGCUUAACACAUGCAAGUCGAACGAUGAAGCUGGAGCUUGCUCCGGUGGAUUAGUGGCGAACGGGUGAGUAACACGUGAGAAAUCUGCCCCUGACUCUGGGAUAACUGCGGGAAACUGUAGCUAAUACCGGAUACUUUCCCUGGUGGGCAUCCACUGGGGAAGAAAGAAUUUCGGUCAGGGAGGAUCUCGCGGCCUAUCAGCUAGUUGGUGAGGUAACGGCUCACCAAGGCGACGACGGGUAACCGGCCUGAGAGGGUGACCGGUCACACUGGGACUGAGACACGGCCCAGACUCCUACGGGAGGCAGCAGUGGGGAAUAUUGCACAAUGGGCGCAAGCCUGAUGCAGCAACGCCGCGUGAGGGAUGAAGGCCUUCGGGUUGUAAACCUCUUUUAGCAGGGAAGAAGCGAAAGUGACGGUACCUGCAGAAAAAGCACCGGCUAACUACGUGCCAGCAGCCGCGGCAAUACGUAGGGUGCAAGCGUUGUCCGGAAUUAUUGGGCGUAAAGAGCUCGUAGGCGGUUUGUCACGUCUGCUGUGAAAAUCCAAGGCUCAACCUUGGACUUGCAGUGGGUACGGGCAGGCUAAAGUGCGGUAGGGGAGAUGGGAAUUCCUG
RNAcentral lists this ribosomal RNA (626 nucleotides) under uncultured Microbacteriaceae bacterium. RNAcentral's name for it is "bacterial SSU rRNA". It matches the Rfam family "Bacterial small subunit ribosomal RNA", at positions 35 to 672 of the family's 1533-position model. Lineage: Bacteria; Bacillati; Actinomycetota; Actinomycetes; Micrococcales; Microbacteriaceae. The record is from RNAcentral.